Long non-coding RNA from Choloepus didactylus (southern two-toed sloth), 2356 nucleotides. RefSeq lists it as uncharacterized. The record is from RefSeq and is a predicted model, not a curated record. Lineage: Eukaryota; Metazoa; Chordata; Mammalia; Pilosa; Megalonychidae. The transcript has 3 exons.
AUGGUACAGCUGUACAACUAGUGAACUAAUAUUGAUAUUUGUUAUUAUAACUGAAUGCCAUCCUUGUUUUGGAUCAUACUUGCUUUUACCUAAUGUCCUUUUUCUUUUUCAGGAUCCCACCCAGGAUCCCAUAGUACAUUUAGUUGUCAUGUCGCCUUAGACUCUUCUUGACUGUAAAGUUUCUCUGACUUUCCAUGUUUCUGAUGACCGUGAUGGUUUUCAGGAGUGCUGGGCAGGUGUUUUGUAGCUUGUUCCUCAAGGGGGAUAUGCCUGAUGUUUUUCUCAUGGUUCAACUGGGGUUAAGGUUUGGGGAGGAAGACCACAGUGGAGAAGUGUCAUUCUCAUCACAUCAUACCAAGUACAUACUGUGACCAUAAGUUAUCACUGUUGAUGUUGACCUUGAUCACUUGGCUGAGGUACUGUUUCUUCACUGUCAAUUUACUCCCCUGCCCCCCAUCUCCAUCUUUUCAUAUUAGUCUCUUUGGAAGCAAGUCACCAAGUGUAGUCCACACUUAAGAGGUGGGGAGUUAUGCUCUAAGAUUGAGUAUCUACAUAAAUUAUUUGGAAUUCUUAUGUAUGGGAGAUUUGUCUCUUUUGUCCUAGUUAUUUAUUUAUUCAAUCACUUAUUUAUAUUAGUAUGAGCUCAUGGAUAUUUAUUCUUUAGGUUAUAAUCUAAUGUUAUUUAUUUUGUUGCUUAAAUUGUUCUAGCUUUGGCCAUAGGGAGUACAAAAAGUUGGCUCCUAUGUCUCUAUGACAUAUCCUGAUCCUUUUUAUUUUGAGUGUUUGUUUUUAACUUUCUGGCAUUACAGGAUGUCCCAGGCUCAUCUUGAAUAUUCCCUGCUCCAGCCCUAGAACCAGCCAUUUCUCCAUAAAAAAAUGUCAAGUAGAGACUGGAGAUACAUCCUGAAAUGAAUUAGGAGAUAAUCCUGAAAUGAAAGGCCAGGCUGAACUGAAUUGAGACGCUCCUUCCUGCAUUUGAGAAUGCCCAUCUCAUCGAGGCAGCUUCCUCUACAACUAAGGACGGACAGUGGUACCAGGAUGCCCACUUUUCUGGCUGUGAUGGAGCUUGCAGGAAACUUGAGGUCUGGGAUGUUCAUGGCAGCACCGGUGUGAUGCAUCCAGUGCCCGGGCUGGUGGCCCAGGUCUCAGCGGUGCAGGCUGGGUGCUCUCGCUGCCAGCACUGCAUUUGGAUUUGGAGUCCUGUUCACGAGCGAGUCUGGGGCUCCUGACCUCCCAGUGAUUCUGUAAGCUACCUGACGUAUAUUCUGCUUAAAUCAUUCAAAGUUGAUUUCUUUUGUUUUCAACCAAGAACCUUGACUAAGGCAACCCCCAUGUGUUAAAAUUUAUGAGAGGUCAGAAAUCUUGUCUUCUUUCUUUGACAACUUCCCAGAGUCCAGAAUUCCUUAAAAGUAGUAUGUGUUCAAUAAAUACUUGCUAACGGAGCAGUUCCCAGCUGCUCCAGGUGGUUGAGCCAUGAGGGAAGCAGUUGGGCCACUGAGUCCCAAAACCCAAAGCAGGAGGAGGUUCCUGGCUGACAGGAGCCAUUGGCUCAAUGGUGUGAAGGCAACAAGUGCUGCCUGAAAAAGUCACAUUACAUCCAAGGAUGGGAAAGAUCCUUGAGAUUUAAGAAUGAGAAGGGUGGAAAAGGACGGCUUAACCUUCCCAGAGGAAUGGAAGGGGAAGGAAGGGAGUGAAAUUCUCUUGUUUGCUCUGUAUCAGGAGGCAGCAAAGCUGGGUACUUCAUAUCCACAUACACAACACUGACCUCAUAUCAUCUUUACAGUGAGUCCCACUGAAACUUGAGGAAACUGAGUCUGAGAGACCAUAAAUAAUUUGUCCAGGGUCACAAGGUUAGUAAAUGGCUUAGCUGCACUUUGAAUCCAGGACCAGCUGAUUCCAGCUCUUUUCACGUAACACCACACAGGGCAGGGAGACAGGAAAAAACAAAGGAAAUCAUCAAGCUGAGAAGAAUCUCUCUUCCUUUUGACUUUUCGUAAUUCUUUGUAUUUCUCUUAAGAUGAUACCUUGUACUGAAUAGUUUUUGUUCAGGCUUAGAGUCUGGGCUACUUUUGAAAACUCUGAGGGCAGAGACCACUUCUCUGUCCCCUCUGUCUCUUCCAUGUUGCCUCGUCCCGUGCUUUGAGCUGACCUGACCGCUGGUGCUAGUCCCACAGGGUUCUCCUUCUGUGAGCUCUCCCAAGGUGGCCGCAUGUUCCUUGCUGAAUUACACGUGACUUUCUUUUGCUUUAGUGAAAACGGAGGUUAGGUUGCCAUGGCCGAUUUACUUGAUACUCUCAUUGUUGAAUCUAUUUAUACCACAAGGCUUUCAAGUGCCAAUAAAUUACUUGGCUGUUGA